This 274-nucleotide ribosomal RNA is filed under the name uncultured bacterium. Its description in RNAcentral is "partial 16S ribosomal RNA". It matches the Rfam family "Bacterial small subunit ribosomal RNA", at positions 523 to 796 of the family's 1533-position model. The record is from RNAcentral.
AUACGGAGGGUGCAAGCGUUAUUCGGAAUCACUGGGCGGAAAGGACGCGUAGGCGGGUUGGCAAGUCAGAUGUGAAAUCCUGCAGCUUACCUGUACAACUGCAUUUGAAACUGCUAACCUAGAGUAUGGGAGGGGGAGAUGGAAUUAGUGGUGUAGGGGUAAAAUCCGUAGAUAUCACUAGGAAUACCGAAAGCGAAGGCGAUCUCCUGGAACAUAACUGACGCUAAGGCGUGAAAGCGUGGGGAGCAAACAGGAUUAGAAACCCUAGUAGUCC